GACUAAUCGAACCAUCUA
This 18-nucleotide non-coding RNA is filed under the name Arabidopsis thaliana (thale cress). The record is from RNAcentral. Lineage: Eukaryota; Viridiplantae; Streptophyta; Magnoliopsida; Brassicales; Brassicaceae. RNAcentral also lists the same sequence under 1 other name.